AAAAAGACAGUUUUUAAAAAUUUUCAUUUAAUAAGUGUUAUCACCAAGUACAAUUGGAGUGCUAUUUAAAAAAUACCAAAAUCUGAUGAUUUGCAAAAACACUGCAGCUAUCUACAAAGUGGUCCAUUCCUAUGUCUUACAUACACACUAAAUGCAUACACACCUCACACCCUGUACAAAAUAUUAAGCCCCAAAUUACCAAAUUGUGAGUUAGUGAUUUCUUUUUCUUAGUAUUUAUUUAUUUUUGUAGAGUGGGUAAUUCCUACCAAUAAGUAGUAGGGCCACAUGGAAAAGAAAAUAUAUAUAUAUACAUGAGAAUAAAUUGUCAAUCUUACAAAAUUGUAUUUUUUUUCAAAGUGAUUUUAUAAAAAUAGGGUCCGUUACUGUCCA
Hippocampus comes (tiger tail seahorse) is the source of this 390-nucleotide long non-coding RNA. RefSeq lists it as uncharacterized. The record is from RefSeq and is a predicted model, not a curated record. The transcript has 2 exons. NCBI's taxonomy places the organism in Eukaryota, Metazoa, Chordata, Actinopteri, Syngnathiformes, Syngnathidae.